UAUGUGGUUUAAUUCGAUGCAACGCGAAGAACCUUACCUGGUCUUGACAUCCCGGAGACCCUUAGGAAACUAGGGGGUGCUUCCAUCUGGAAGAAUCUGGAGACAGGCGCUGCAUGGCUGUCGUCAGCUCGUGUCGUGAGAUGUUGGGUUAAGUCCCGCAACGAGCGCAACCCUUGCCUUUAGUUGCCAGCAGUUCGGCUGGGCACUCUAAAGGGACUGCCGGUGUUAAACCGGAGGAAGGUGGGGAUGACGUCAAGUCCUCAUGGCCUUUAUGACCAGGGCUACACACGUACUACAAUGGCCGAUACAAAGGGCAGCGACACUGCGAGGUGAAGCCAAUCCCGUAAAAUCGGUCUCAGUCCGGAUUGGAGUCUGCAACUCGACUCCAUGAAGUUGGAAUCGCUAGUAAUCGUGGAUCAGCAUGCCACGGUGAAUACGUUCCCGGGCCUU
RNAcentral lists this ribosomal RNA (450 nucleotides) under uncultured Desulfobulbus sp. RNAcentral describes it as "bacterial SSU rRNA". It matches the Rfam family "Bacterial small subunit ribosomal RNA", at positions 938 to 1382 of the family's 1533-position model. Lineage: Bacteria; Pseudomonadati; Thermodesulfobacteriota; Desulfobulbia; Desulfobulbales; Desulfobulbaceae. The record is from RNAcentral.